Molecule: long non-coding RNA, 307 nt
Filed under: Elaeis guineensis (African oil palm)
Lineage: Eukaryota; Viridiplantae; Streptophyta; Magnoliopsida; Arecales; Arecaceae
Description: long non-coding RNA (EGUI_LNC013565)
Source: RNAcentral
GAACAAUCUCAUAGCCUACGUUAAAAAAUGGACGAAAUUGGUAGCAUGUCACAUUUGUUCGUCCAUUAAAGACGCUAACUCUAUCCCACUUUUUUUGUUGGAUGACCUCUCUGCAGGGUAUGUCAAGAUGAGCUUCGAUGAGGCCAGGGCUGGCUUAAGGGUAAGGCCACCAAAGCAAAGGCUUUAGGACCCCAGACCCCUGCCAUCCAUUUCCACCGCGACCAACUGUCCACCCACGAGAAGAUGAAAGGCAUCAGAGACAAAGAUGGUGAGACGGAAGAUAGGAGCGACGAGAUGGGAGACGGCA